Molecule: ribosomal RNA, 201 nt
Filed under: uncultured bacterium
Lineage: Bacteria
Description: partial 16S ribosomal RNA
Rfam family: Bacterial small subunit ribosomal RNA
Source: RNAcentral
CCGAUGGAGGGGGGUAACUACUGGAAACGGUAGCUAAUACCGCAUAACGUCGCAAGACCAAAGAGGGGACCUUCGGGCCUCUUGCCAUCGGAUGUGCCCAGAUGGGAUUAGCUAGUAGGUGGGGUAACGGCUCACCUAGGCGACGAUCCCUAGCUGGUCUGAGAGGAUGACCAGCCACACUGGAACUGAGACACGGUCCAG